Long non-coding RNA from Halichondria panicea, 3855 nucleotides. RefSeq lists it as uncharacterized. The record is from RefSeq and is a predicted model, not a curated record. The transcript is spliced from 4 exons. Lineage: Eukaryota; Metazoa; Porifera; Demospongiae; Suberitida; Halichondriidae.
GGGUAGGCAGUAAUAUAGUUGCAUAUGGGGGUUACUGUGGGGGUAGGCAGUUUGAAGUUGCAUACUUAACCGAUCGAGAGCACUGCCGUGUCCCGGAUUACCACCAACUCCCCCAAAUAUAAUUACAACACUCGAGUGACAUGUGACAUGAAGUGAGUGAUCAAUUUAUAAUGAUGCCAUGAUCGACGAUGGCUGUAACAUAUCUUGUUAUUGAUGAUUGUCGUAUAUCUUCCUCCAUCAAAGUAUAAGUAUUGCUUUGCUGGCAAUUCUUGCAAACGUACGUGGUCUUGGUACCAUAUUCUAUGAUUGUCGAUGCCUCCGUCAACUCUAUUUCCCCAAAUAAGUGCCUUAAGGCAAUUUUUGCAAACUUACUGUCUUGGUGCCACCUCAAUAUAAGAUUCCUCCGCUCAGGUGGCUCUAUAGGUGCCUUUAUAAACACUGCAAUUAAGUGGCAAUUCUAUGAUUGUCUUAUUGAAGGUAUAAGAUUCCUCCGCCUAAGGUGGCGCUAAACGCCUUUAUAAACACUGCAUUUCCUCAAUUAAGUGGCAAUUCUAUGAUUGUCUUAUUGAAGGUAUAAGAUUCAUCCGCCUAAGGUGGCGCUAAACGCCUUUAUAAACACUGCAUUUCCUCAAUUAAGUGGCAAUUCUAUGAUUGUCAUAUUGACAGGAUGCCUCCUCCGCCUAAGGUGGCUCUAUAUAGGUGUAUAAACGCCUUUAUAAAUACUGCAUUUCCGUGGUAAUUGAUACCGUAUUCUAUGAUUGUCUUAUUGACAGUAUAAUAUCCACCAAGGUACCUCUAAACACGGCAUUUCCCCAAUUAAGUGGCAAUUCUUAUUGGUCGGUGAUUGAUGCUUCAGUCAAGCCUCUAGAUGCUUGCCUGGGCAAUUGUUAGGCAAAUACCACCCAUUAUUGAAAUGGCUAUAUAUAUGCCUCCUUCAUUGAGGUUAAGUUGCCGAUUGAUUGAACCACCAUCAUCAUUGAACGCUGACAUCUGCCGGAAAUGAUCUCUUCUCUCCCGACCGAGGCCACACUCUCACAGCUCUCAAGUUCUAAGUUCUCUCUGGUGGUUUGGAGAUCAGAUCUACUCCCAUUUGAGUAACCACAAUGAUCCUAUGUCAAUUGGCUCGUGUCCAAUGGUCAUAUAUGUAGGUGUGUCUCUCAAUGUCCGAAACUGGCUCCGGCCUAUAGUGUUCUCUGAAGGCUUCGGCCUAUAGUGUUCUCUGAAGGCUUCGGCCUAUAGUGUUCUCUGAAGGCUUCGGCCUAUAGUGUUCUCUGAAGGCUUUGGCCUAUAGUGUUCUUUGAAGGCUCCGGCCUAUAGUGUUCUCUGAAGGCUCCGGCAUAUAGUGUUCUCUGAAGGCUUUGGCCUAUAGUGUUAUCUGAAGGCUCCGGCCUAUAGUGUUCUCUGAAGGCUCCGGCCCAUAGUGUUCUCUGAAGGCUUCGGCCUAUAGUAGGCUCCAGCCUAUAGUGUUCUCUGAAGGCUCCGGCCCAUAGUGUUCUCUGAAGGCUUCGGCCUAUAGUAGGCUCCGGCCUAUAGUGUUCUCUGAAGGCUUCGGCCUAUGGUUUUCUCUCUGAAGGCUUUGGCCUAUAGUAGGCUCCGGCUCUCUGAAGGCUUCGGCCUAUAGUAGGCUCCGGCCUAUAUAGUGUUCUCUGAAGGCUUCGGCCUAUAGUGUUCUCUGAAGGCUUCGGCCUAUAGUGUUCUCUGAAGGCUCCGGCCUAUAGUGCUCUAGCUGUGCUGAGCAGGGCUCUGGCUAUGAUAUAUCUCUCAAUUGGUCUGAGGUGGUUAGGUGGUGUGAAGUGGCCCUAACAACUAUGAGGUGGCCCUAACAACGAGGUGGCCCUAACAACAGAGGUGGCCCAUUGAUUCCAACCACGACAGAAACCUAUGUUCCCAGUGUCUCAACGAGGAGCUGAACGGGAUGUGGAGCGGGGCAAGUGGCAGCAGCUGGAUCCACCACCAUCAUCUCUCUCAACCAACUCUGUCUCUGCUGGAAUUCCUGUCCAUCGUGUUCAUCCCAGCUGAAGAAGGCUUCAGCCUCGCAGCUGAGUCCCCUGUCCAUGCACUCAUGGCAGGGGCAGGCUCUGUUCACGAUGCACUGUUCUCCGAUGGUCACCCUGAAGGCCAGGUAUGUGUUCUUAUUGUGUAUACUCAUGGCAGGGACAGGCUCUGAUCGCCCCAAAGGCUUCGGCCUAACAGUUCUCUCCGAUGUUCACCUGAAGGCUUCGGCCGGGAAUGUGUUCUCCCGUGUUCAUCCCAGCUGAAGAAGGCUUCGGCCUCGCAGGCUCUGUUCACCCCGACCUGAAGAAGGCGGCCAGACCAUCAGCCCCACAGCAGAAGACGGACCUCUGAUCUGCCUCUACCUCUGCUGGAGUUCCUGUCCACUCGGGGGUGUUCAUCCCAGCUGAAGAAGGCUUCGGCCUCGCAGCUGAGUCCCCUGUCCAUGCACUCAUCAUGGCAGGGGCAGGCUCUGUUCACCCCGACCUGAAGGCGGCCAGACCAUCGGCCCCACAGCAGAAGACGGACCUCUGAUCUGCCUCUACCUCUGCUGGAGUUCCUGUCCACUCGGGGGUGUUCAUCCCAGCUGAAGAAGGCUUCGGCCUCGCAGCUGAGUCCCCUGUCCAUGCACUCAUGGCAGGGGCAGGCUCUGUUCACCCCGACCUGAAGAAGGCGGCCAGACCAUCGGCCCCACAGCAGAAGACGGACCUCUGAUCUGCCUCUACCUCUGCUGGAGUUCCUGUUCACUCGGGGGUGUUCAUCCCAGCUGAAGAAGGCUUCGGCCUCGCAGCUGAGUCCCUUGUCCAUGCACUCAUGGCAGGGGCAGGCUCUGUUCACCCCGACCUGAAGGCGGCCAGACCAUCGGCCCCACAGCAGAAGGUGGACUUAGCCAUGGGUUUUACAGACGGGGAAAGGGAAUUGUUCGUAUGGUAUAGCUAUUGGUGUACACAGCGAAUAUGUAAUAACACAAUGCUUAACCGUCUUCUUCUUCUGCCCCCAGGAAAUUUUAAUGGAUCUUCCUAACGAGCGGACUGAUCAUAUGGACUGGUAAAGAGUUACUUCAUUAACGCCUGAUACUAUGUGCGCAUAUCAUGAUAGUAUGUGAUUACCUUCCAAUGGCUAUAAAAGUCACUUCUGUUAUCACUACAAGAUCUCUUAAUUUGUAGCUUGGUCUACGUAAUAUCCAUGCAUUUAAUGAUGCGUUUGGCUUAUUAUGUCGUGUGUGUAACCAAGUCUUCAUACAUUUGGCUUCAUGUGCAACAUCCCACUCAUGUUAUAGCUUAGACUAUUAUAGCUACACAGUGUGCGUGCAUGUAUACUAGUAAUGCUGCACAGUGUGCAUGCAUGUAUACUAGUAAUGCUGCACAGCUAUGACUCUAUUUACGCAGACAGAUCUGAAGCAGCUCUAAAGACAAUCGAGACAACGAUUAUGGUGGGAGGAGUCACUGGCACAACCUAUGCUGAUCGACCAAAAACUAAAUUAAGUUGAAGUAGCUAGACGAACCCCAUGACGUUAUCAUGCAGAUCUCUAUACGUCUCUACCUUGUGGUAGAAUACAAAAAGCUGCCCCCAUGUAAGAAAUGGAUCUUCCUAAUGAGCGUGGACUGGAUUGAUGGACUGAUAUAACAAGGCGAGCUUAUGGAACAGAUCGGAUGGUGUUUGAUGAAUGAUAUAGAUGAAUGAUAGAAGCAGUAUUUUGCAUUCCUUGUCUUAUAAAAAGGGUGGGUACGGGUACAAAUGGAUCAAGAGUUCACCAGAGAGUUCACAAUGAAAGGACAGACACCGUGACAGCUUGGUCGGACUCGGAAAUUAUGUAGCUAUUCAGUGUGGUUAAGGCAUGCCAAAUGAUCAUAUUUGAGAUGG